RNAcentral lists this ribosomal RNA (494 nucleotides) under uncultured bacterium. RNAcentral describes it as "partial 16S ribosomal RNA". It matches the Rfam family "Bacterial small subunit ribosomal RNA", at positions 28 to 507 of the family's 1533-position model. The record is from RNAcentral.
GACGAACGCUGGCGGCGUGCCUAAUACAUGCAAGUAGAACGCUGAAGGAGGAGCUUGCUUCUCUGGAUGAGUUGCGAACGGGUGAGUACGCGUAGGUAACCUGCCUGGUAGCGGGGGAUAACUAUUGGAAACGAUAGCUAAUACCGCAUAAGAGUAGAUGUUGCAUGACAUUUGCUUAAAAGGUGCAAUUGCAUCACUACCAGAUGGACCUGCGUUGUAUUAGCUAGUUGGUGAGGUAACGGCUCACCAAGGCGACGAUACAUAGCCGACCUGAGAGGGUGAUCGGCCACACUGGGACUGAGACACGGCCCAGACUCCUACGGGAGGCAGCAGUAGGGAAUCUUCGGCAAUGGACGGAAGUCUGACCGAGCAACGCCGCGUGAGUGAAGAAGGGUUUCGGAUCGUAAAGCUCUGUUGUAAGAGAAGAACGAGUGUGAGAGUGGAAAGUUCACACUGUGACGGUAUCUUACCAGAAAGGGACGGCUAACUACGUG